RNAcentral lists this ribosomal RNA (395 nucleotides) under uncultured bacterium. Its description in RNAcentral is "partial 16S ribosomal RNA". It matches the Rfam family "Bacterial small subunit ribosomal RNA", at positions 523 to 918 of the family's 1533-position model. The record is from RNAcentral.
AUACGUAGGGUGCAAGCGUUAAUCGGAAUUACUGGGCGUAAAGCGUGCGCAGGCGGUUUUGUAAGACAGAGGGGAAAUCCCAGGGCUCAACCUGGGAACUGCCUUUGUGACUGGAAGGCAAAAGUACGGCAGAGGGGGAUGGAAUUUCGGGCGUAGCAGUGCAAAGCGUAGAUAAGCGGAGGAACACCGAUGGCGAAGGCAAUCCCCUGGGCCUGUACUGACGCUCAUGCACGAAAGCGUGGGGAGCAAACAGGAUUAGAUACCCUGGUAGUCCACGCCCUAAACGAUGUCAACUGGUUGUUGGGUCUUCAUUGACUCAGUAACGAAGCUAACGCGUGAAGUUGACCGCCUGGGGAGUACGGCCGCAAGGUUGAAACUCAAAUGAAUUGACGGGG